Molecule: non-coding RNA, 603 nt
Organism: Dermacentor albipictus
Lineage: Eukaryota; Metazoa; Arthropoda; Arachnida; Ixodida; Ixodidae
Source: RefSeq, a predicted model, not a curated record
CGCUGGCCAUCUAGCGGACGCGCCUACUGUUCUGUCUGGAAAUGAACACAAUUCUGUGUACUUAUAAAAUUAUCGCUAUGCCGUCGCGCGAAAACUCUAAAAAAAAUAAUAUUAUGUCGAAAGACGUUUGUUGUGUAUCGUAAUGCGUGUCAUCGCGUGGGAAAGACAGCAACGGAUCACUUCAUGGUUUCGCGAAAUGAGCAGACGGCACGCUUUGGAAAGCGACGUGGAAUAGAACCUUGCCCGUGGAGAAAUCGCGGUUUGGUGCGAAGUACUUCACUCGCGACGACUUCUUUCUCCCCGGGAGGCCCCGUGUGCGCAGGUCACUACCAUUCGGGGAGCCAGCACAUCGCCGCUGUCUGGUCAUCAUGGAUCGGGAGACGGAGAUCGACAUGGAGACCCUGCUGCAGAACAUACGUGACGGCAGUGCUGUGCCUCUUAGGAGGGACAUCGUGGUGCAGCCCACAGCGCAAGAUGCAGAGAUGCUCCUCCGACAGCCUGGCCGUCGGCUGCUUUCCAAGCGCCUGCUUGUGCUAUGGCAGCGAGUCCGGACAUUGCCCAGACCAAAUGACGAUGAGCCAGCCAUGGCCACUGAAGAACCAG